CCCUAGUAACGGCGAGUGAAGCGGCAACAGCUCAAAUUUGAAAUCUGGCUCUUUUAGGGUCCGAGUUGUAAUUUGCAGAGGGCGCUUUGGCUUUGGCAGCGGUCCAAGUUCCUUGGAACAGGACGUCACAGAGGGUGAGAAUCCCGUACGUGGUCGCUAGCUAUCGCCGUGUAAAGCCCCUUCGACGAGUCGAGUUGUUUGGGAAUGCAGCUCUAAAUGGGAGGUAAAUUUCUUCUAAAGCUAAAUAUUGGCCAGAGACCGAUAGCGCACAAGUAGAGUGAUCGAAAGAUGAAAAGCACUUUGGAAAGAGAGUCAAACAGCACGUGAAAUUGUUGAAAGGGAAGCGCUUGCAGCCAGACUUGCUUGCAGUUGCUCAUCCGGGCUUUUGCCCGGUGCACUCUUCUGUAGGCAGGCCAGCAUCAGUUUGGGCGGUGGGAUAAAGGUCUCUGUCACGUACCUCUCUUCGGGGAGGCCUUAUAGGGGAGACGACAUACCACCAGCCUAGACUGAGGUCCGCGCAUCUGCUAGGAUGCUGGCGUAAUGGCUGUAAGCGGCCCGUCUUGAAACACGGACCAAGGAGUCUAACAUCUAUGCGAGUGUUUGGGUGUCAAGCCCGAGCGCGUAAUGAAAGUGAACGGAGGUGGGAACCCGCAAGGGUGCACCAUCGACCGAUCCUGAAGUUUUCGGAAGGAUUUGAGUAAGAGCAUGGCUGUUGGGACCCGAAAGAUGGUGAACUAUGCUUGAAUAGGGUGAAGCCAGAGGAAACUCUGGUGGAGGCUCGCAGCGGUUCUGACGUGCAAAUCGAUCGUCAAAUUUGGGCAUAGGGGCGAAAGACUAAUCG
RNAcentral lists this ribosomal RNA (841 nucleotides) under Stemphylium vesicarium. RNAcentral's name for it is "partial large subunit ribosomal RNA". It matches the Rfam family "Eukaryotic large subunit ribosomal RNA", at positions 78 to 937 of the family's 3401-position model. Lineage: Eukaryota; Fungi; Ascomycota; Dothideomycetes; Pleosporales; Pleosporaceae. The record is from RNAcentral.